This 253-nucleotide ribosomal RNA is filed under the name uncultured bacterium. RNAcentral describes it as "partial 16S ribosomal RNA". It matches the Rfam family "Bacterial small subunit ribosomal RNA", at positions 524 to 776 of the family's 1533-position model. The record is from RNAcentral.
UACAGAGGUCCCAAGCGUUGUUCGGAUUCACUGGGCGUAAAGGGUGCGUAGGCGGUCGGGUAAGUCUGAUGUGAAAUCCCACGGCUCAACCGUGGAACUGCUUGGUAUACUGGUCGUCUUGAGCCAUCUAGGGGCUGUCGGAACAAAUGGUGGAGCGGUGAAAUGCGUAGAUAUCAUUUGGAACGCCAAAGGUGAAAACAGACAGCUGGGGAUGUGCUGACGCUGAGACACGAAAGCCAGGGGAGCGAACGGG